Molecule: RNA transcript, 1202 nt
Organism: Zalophus californianus (California sea lion)
Lineage: Eukaryota; Metazoa; Chordata; Mammalia; Carnivora; Otariidae
Gene: PPIL3
Gene name: peptidylprolyl isomerase like 3
Exons: 8
Source: RefSeq, a predicted model, not a curated record
GAGCCGGGCGGAAGUGGUCCUUCCCAUUUUACGUCUGAGCCUAAAGUACUGCUAGAGGGUGCCCGGAAUGGUUCCGGUUUACGUUUCGUGUCCUUGUAUAAUUAUUAAAAGAGCUCCCUUUCACCGUCAAAAGCGUACCAGGUGAGGAUAAAUUACAUCGUCUUCCUAGUUCUAGUCAUUUUGGUUUGAAAUAGGAAGGAAGGAGGCGAGCAGGUGAGGGGCGUUCUAAUGGGUCCCGCGCUCGACUUCCGGUAGCCAGGAGACACUAAUUUCGAAACGUGGGUAUAUGCAAGGGCAUCUUUUCUGUUUCAACAACAGCUGUGCUAACUAAAGUGAGACACGUUUUCUAACUUCUCUUGGUAAGACUGAGAAAUUAAGCAGUAGUACUUCCUGAAACCAUCAAACAGAAAAAUGUCAGUGACACUGCAUACAGAUGUAGGUGAUAUUAAAAUAGAAGUGUUCUGUGAGAGGACACCCAAAACUUGUGAGAAUUUUUUGGCUCUUUGUGCCAGUAAUUACUACAAUGGCUGUAUAUUUCAUAGAAAUAUCAAAGGUUUCAUGGUUCAAACAGGAGAUCCGACAGGUACCGGAAGAGGAGGUAACAGUAUCUGGGGCAAGAAAUUUGAGGAUGAAUAUAGUGAAUAUCUUAAGAUAAAGAAACUAGCCAGAGUCCAGUGUAUGUGUCAAGAGCUUAUGGGGAUUUUGGUUUUGUUGUCUGCCUGAUCGUUUCACGCCAGCAUGUUCCUUAAUAUAAUCACAAUGUUAGAGGUGUUGUAUCUAUGGCUAAUAAUGGGCCAAACACCAAUGGAUCUCAGUUCUUCAUCACCUAUGGCAAGCAGCCACAUUUGGACAUGAAAUACACAGUAUUUGGAAAGGUAAUAGAUGGUCUGGAGACUCUGGAUGAAUUGGAGAAGUUACCAGUAAAUGAGAAGACCUAUCGACCUCUUAACGAUGUACACAUUAAGGACAUAACUAUUCAUGCCAAUCCAUUUGCACAAUAGCAGUAAUCUGGAAAAAUAUUUGGCAGACUAUUCAAGGAACACACCUACUGUGGUUUACCCAGUUUUAAUUAUGUUCAAAGAUUACAUCAUCCUUCUUGUUUAUAGCUAAGAUCUUCUAUGAGUUGGUGGUACCAUGGGGGCCCAAACAGCUUUUAUUCCCAUUAUUAAAGCAUAUUUUUUAUUAAACUAUUAUCUAAUGUA